Molecule: ribosomal RNA, 368 nt
Filed under: alpha proteobacterium K-2042
Lineage: Bacteria; Pseudomonadati; Pseudomonadota; Alphaproteobacteria
Description: bacterial SSU rRNA
Rfam family: Bacterial small subunit ribosomal RNA
Source: RNAcentral
CCAUCAUUCAGUUGGGCACUCUAAGGAAACUGCCGGUGAUAAGCCGGANGAAUGUGGGGAUGACGUCAANUCCUCAUGGGCCUUACGCGCUGGGCUACACACGUGCUACAAUGGCAACUACAGUGGGCAGCAACCUCGACGAGGGGUAGCUAGUCUCCAAAAGUUGUCUCAGUUCGGAUUGUUCUCUGCAACUCGAGAGCAUGAAGGCAGGAAUCGCUAGUAAUCGCAGAUCAACAUGCCGCGGUGAAUACGUUCCCAGGCCUUGUACACACCGCCCGUCACACCAUGGGANUUGGUUUCACCCGAAGGCAGUGCUCUAACCCGCAAGGGAGGAAGCUGACCACGGUGGGAUCAUCGACUGGGGUGAA